ACCUGAGUGGCUCAGUGGGUUGAGCAUCUGACUUCGGCUCAGGUCAUGAUCUCACGGUUUCUGGGUUCGAGCCCCACAUUGGUC
RNAcentral lists this transfer RNA (84 nucleotides) under Felis catus (domestic cat). It matches the Rfam family "tRNA". From Rfam's summary of the family: Transfer RNA (tRNA) molecules are approximately 80 nucleotides in length. Their secondary structure includes four short double-helical elements and three loops (D, anti-codon, and T loops). Further hydrogen bonds mediate the characteristic L-shaped molecular structure. tRNAs have two regions of fundamental functional importance: the anti-codon, which is responsible for specific mRNA codon recognition, and the 3' end, to which the tRNAs corresponding amino acid is attached (by aminoacyl-tRNA synthetases). tRNAs cope with the degeneracy of the genetic code in two manners: having more than one tRNA (with a specific anti-codon) for a particular amino acid; and 'wobble' base-pairing, i.e. permitting non-standard base-pairing at the 3rd anti-codon position. The record is from Rfam by way of RNAcentral. Lineage: Eukaryota; Metazoa; Chordata; Mammalia; Carnivora; Felidae.